UGGGGGAUAUUGCACAAUGGGCGAAAGCCUGAUGCAGCGACGCCGCGUGGGGGAUGAAGGCCUUCGGGUUGUAAACUUCUUUUGCUCUGAACAAGGCAUGCCUUUGGGGUGUGUUGAGUGUAGGGGUUGAUUAGCGCCGGCUAACUACGUGCCAGCAGCCGCGGUAAUACGUAGGGCGCGAGCGUUGUCCGGAAUUAUUGGGCGUAAAGGGCUUGUAGGUGGCUGGUUGCGUCUGUCGUGAAAGCUCAUGGCUUAACUGUGGGUUUGCGGUGGGUACGGGCUGGCUUGAGUGCAGUAGGGGAGGCUGGAAUUCCUGGUGUAACGGUAGAAUGCGCAGAUAUCAGUAGUAAUACCGGUGGCGAAGGCGGGUCUCUGGGCUGUUACUGACGCUGAGGAGCGAAAGCGUGGGGAGCGAACAGG
RNAcentral lists this ribosomal RNA (420 nucleotides) under Fusobacteriota bacterium. Its description in RNAcentral is "Fusobacteria bacterium partial 16S ribosomal RNA". It matches the Rfam family "Bacterial small subunit ribosomal RNA", at positions 355 to 776 of the family's 1533-position model. The record is from RNAcentral. Lineage: Bacteria; Fusobacteriati; Fusobacteriota.